Pomacea canaliculata is the source of this 540-nucleotide RNA transcript. RefSeq lists it as uncharacterized. NCBI's taxonomy places the organism in Eukaryota, Metazoa, Mollusca, Gastropoda, Architaenioglossa, Ampullariidae. The transcript is spliced from 5 exons. The record is from RefSeq and is a predicted model, not a curated record.
UGACUGCACAAGUUGUUGGACAGAAGGCAUUGGAACAACAUAAUGGCUGCUCCAAAGGUUUAUUUAGCUUUGCUCCUCGUCUGCGUUUCAGUUAGCGUGGUGCAGUUGUGGAGUGGACACGUUUGCAGCAUUGUAAAAGUCCAUUAUGAGACCCGAACAACAUGCCAAUCAAAAUUCUUGUGGUGGUGUUCGUCCUCCACAACAAUUACGUACCCGGUGUACUACACGGAUAACAUUUGCUGUGCCGGAUGGCGAGACAAUGGAGGCGACCAGAACUGUAACAUUCCAAUCUGCUCCCCACUUUGUCAGCAAGGCUUUAAGUGCACUGCUCCUAACACCUGUCAGUGACAGUCUUAAAAGGCAAUAACGAACCUGAUCAACGAGCUGGGAACCGAACGCGUCUCUGCUUCUCAUGCUGCUAUAUAAAACUUGCUUGUACCAUGCCUCACUUGGCCACAUUGCCACAAAAGGCAGAAUAGUGUGGAAUCAAUGAAUCAAUGAAUCGAUCAAUCAAUCAAUCAAUCAAUCAAUCAAUCAAUC